UGAGGAAUAUUGGACAAUGGGCGCAAGCCUGAUCCAGCCAUGCCGCGUGCAGGAUGACGGUCCUAUGGAUUGUAAACUGCUUUUGUACAGGAAGAAACAGUUCUACGUGUAGAACCUUGAUGGUACUGUAAGAAUAAGGAUCGGCUAACUCCGUGCCAGCAGCCGCGGUAAUACGGAGGAUCCAAGCGUUAUCCGGAAUCAUUGGGUUUAAAGGGUCCGUAGGCGGUUAGAUAAGUCAGUGGUGAAAGCCCAUCGCUCAACGGUGGAACGGCCAUUGAUACUGUCUGACUUGAAUUAUUAGGAAGUAACUAGAAUAUGUAGUGUAGCGGUGAAAUGCUUAGAGAUUACAUGGAAUACCAAUUGCGAAGGCAGGUUACUACUAAUGGAUUGACGCUGAUGGACGAAAGCGUGGGUAGCGAACAGGAUUAGAUACCCAUGUAGUCCCUGAGCGGGCUGGCAAGGCGCAU
This 467-nucleotide ribosomal RNA is filed under the name uncultured bacterium. RNAcentral's name for it is "bacterial SSU rRNA". It matches the Rfam family "Bacterial small subunit ribosomal RNA", at positions 355 to 825 of the family's 1533-position model. The record is from RNAcentral.